CUAGACUGAUUAGGUGAGUGAAAAAUUUUAAGUUGGUAGUUAAAUUGUUUAGGGGUAAUUUUAUUAUUCUAUGAUAUUAAAAAGUGAAAUUUAGUGUUGUUAAAUAGGUUACUUGAAGUAUCUCUUGAUUUGAAGCUACGAAGGUUAAGUUAUAAACCGGGAUUAGAUACCCCGUUAUUCUUAAAUGUAAAAUUAUUCGCUUUAGUAGUAUCUAGUUAUAAUCUUGAAAUUUAAAGAAUUUGGCGGUAUUUCAGUCUAGUUAGAGGAACUUGUCCUGUAAAUGAUAAACCACGCAUAAUCUUACUUCUCUUAAAAGUUAGUUUGUAUACCGCCAUUAUUAGAUGAUUUCAAGAGAAUUUAUCAGAAUGGCUUAUUGUCAGUAAAUUAGGUCAAGGUGCAGCAUAUAGGGAAGUAGAGAUGAGUUACAAUAAAAUGAGUUUAUACGGAUGUUUAUUCUGAAUUUGUUAAACUGAAGGAGGAUUUAAUAGUAAUCUUUUUUUAAUAAGAAAAGAUGAUAUAAGCUCUGAAAUAUGUACACAUCGCCCGUCGCUCUCA
RNAcentral lists this ribosomal RNA (555 nucleotides) under Decapoda sp. 1 KYKC-2019. RNAcentral describes it as "partial small subunit ribosomal RNA". The stretch from base 205 to 555 matches the Rfam family "Eukaryotic small subunit ribosomal RNA", at positions 1118 to 1684 of the family's 1831-position model. Lineage: Eukaryota; Metazoa; Arthropoda; Malacostraca; Decapoda. The record is from RNAcentral.